AUCAAUCUCAAGGGAAAUGUCAAAUUUGUAACUGAACCAGUCAUACAACUCCAAACUGCUACAACCGUCUCAAUCUCAAAAAAAUCCCACCUUCGCACCAGAGACGGCUCAUGGCUACCGGUGCUGGUACAUCACCAUCUGCGAAUUUGGUCACAGCUAGAGGAACUGGGGCUCGAUGUGGUACCCCGAUGCCAGGGCUACACACCAUGUAACAGCUCGGUCUGAGAACAUUCGAGGUGCUCGCUCCACGGAUGGUAAUUCCAUUCUUUGUUAUGGGUUUAAUGAAUUCUGUCUCAAUAAUGUCUUAUUGGUUCCACAAGCAACACAAAAUUUGUCAUCCGUUCAACGAUUUUGUGCUAAUAAUAAAUUAUCUCUUGAAUUUGAUGAGCAAAAGGUGAGGGUGGUUGAUCCAGCUACAGGUCGGGUGGUCCUUGAAGGGGAGGAUGUAUGAGAUCUUUGUCAACGAGUGUUAUCCUUAACCGUGGGUCCAAGUCAAUCAAAAUAAAAAAAUUUCCAUGUGCUCGACGUUUCAAACCCAUUCCUUCAGGGUUUGAGACGGCCGGACGAGUCCAACCUGUUCUCUGAGACUAGAAUGACUCCUGACAUGCUCCGUACUCAGCCCUAACUAUGAUUACAAUUAUUAAUAUAAGGAUAUUUGGAGAAGUUGAAAUGUGGAUAUUUAGAUUUUUUUCAUUUUUUUUCCUGGUUCCAAUCGACCCUGCAGCACAACCUCGUUCGAGUCGACCUUGCCCCAUGUGCGAAUUCAGCUGCUUGAGUAAUAUAGUAUCUGAUUGAAAUGAAUUAAAUAUAGUAUAUGAUGCUUCCUACAUGUUUUCCAUGUUGCUAAUAAACUUUACAAGACUGGAUUGGGUCUUGAUUGCAUGAAAUGAGGUUGCUGUGCAUAUUAUAUUAAUAACCUCAUCCCAUGUGCAAAUGUGUAAUACUAUUCCACCCAAACCAAUUUUGUUAAAAAGUCUGCGGCAUGUAUCACUUAGAUUUUUUUGGAGGAAUUAAAUAUUUUAUUUCUAUUGGAAUUAGUAAACUUUAAACUUUACAACUGUUUGGAUUCUACUGGAAUUGGGUUCUAUCGUUAAUUUGUGAUAGAUUCUACUAGAAUUGGGUUCUUUUUUCUGUUUAUAAAUUAUUCUUAUUUUCUGUUUAUUAAUUGUUCUUAUUUUCUUUGAUAUUCUUCUUCUUUCUUAUUAUUCUGCUUAUAAAUUGUUUUUUUCUGAUUUUUUAAAGUUGACUACGCUUGCGGGUUAGAGAUUUGUCAUUUGUCGGAAGCUUAAAAAGAUCUUCAAUACCAAGGUUUUGUUACUUUUUUAUUAUUUUUAGAAUUGAUGGAUUUAUAAUUUUAUGCAUUAUUUCUUAUAUAAUUUUAUAGUUGGAUUUAGGAAUGUAGGAUUGUAUUCUUAGAUUUAAAAUGAAUCUUAAUUUUUAAAUUACA
RNAcentral lists this long non-coding RNA (1447 nucleotides) under Zostera marina. RNAcentral's name for it is "long non-coding RNA (ZMAR_LNC000970)". The record is from RNAcentral. Lineage: Eukaryota; Viridiplantae; Streptophyta; Magnoliopsida; Alismatales; Zosteraceae.